GUCGGGUGCCAAGAUGAGCAUUGCAGACACUACGGGUUUGGUGAGCGCCGAGAAACGGGUGGCCAAAAUAAACGAUGGCUAGCCGAGAAAACGGGCCUAGAGCUAUCUUGAAGACUGGAUAGAAUUUGUAUGGAUGGCGAGGAGGGGAGAGGACGUUCAAGGCACAGAGGUGGGGCAGGGUGUGGCAUGUUGGGAGACAGCGGUGGCUCGGUGGCUCUUGGGUGAGGCCCUCGGUCGCUCUGACUGCUUCCUCAUCUGCAGACCGGGGCUUGGGCUGGAUGAGGCCGCCGUUUUCUUUCCCCUUCAGCAGAAAACCUGUGCUUUAUUCUUUCAGCACCUGGCUUAUGCCUAACAUCUACACUCGGAAUGAAUGAAUGAUUGACCGAACAAUUUAACUAAACAUCAAGCCAAUGAGAAAAGGAGAACAGAUACCUGAAUAAGAUAAUUUAGUAUUUUAAAGUUUUCAGGGCGCUUUCCUGUCACCACUGGUGUCUUCCCUGUGACAGCCCUGGAGGCGGAGAGUGUGGGUUUCAUUGGUCCCACCUGACAAGUAAGGAAACCGAGGCGUGGAGUGUGCUCGGCGGAUCAGCGACGUCCCCGAAUGGCGAGUUUGGGAAGGAACUGAGCCCGAUGGCUCUGCCCUGCUGGGUUCCCCAUCUCGGGCACCUGUCGCCUGCAGUGAGGGUGCCCUCGGUCCUGCUACUGAGGUGGUGGGGACGGUGCCUGGAGCACUUACCAGAAUGAACUGGUGUUUGAGGUCCCUGUGAGCGGCCUGUGGUGGUCUCUCACUGUGUUCUGAACUCGAGCUGGGGAAGAGGAGUGCUGUUUAUUGUCUCUCCAAAACCCCAGCAGAGAUGUUAAGCAACUUGCUCAGGUAACCUCAGGCUUUACCUGGGGUCCCCUGGCAAUCAGCCGCCUACUCUUUCCAACUGGAGGAACCCUGUCAGAGAGGAAUGGGAGAAGUGGGAGAGGGGGCCUGUGGGCUAGAUGCACAAGAUUGUUCUCUGGUCAUGUAAGUUUGGGAAACGACAAUGGUUUAAAGUUCUGUCAGGUUCUGUUCUGCAGGACUUAUCAGAGCCAUCAAUCACAACUACACUCUGGAUCUCCAAGUGGAGAUAGAUGGAACAGGCAUCAUCUUCCAGACUUGUUGGACCACAUGGGUGAAUGUGAGGGUCUCAAUGCCACUGUUGCCCGUUUGGGGAAAUGUUGCUGCAGACGUCCACUUGAUUCUGGGAGGUGGCAUGGUGGAGUGGGAAGACGGAAGGCUUAGCUUCACCACAAAGGGCUCAGGUACCCAAAGAGGUGCAGGCACUGAGAGAUUUACAAGAAAAGAUCAAUGGAGAAGUAACCAUUCAGUUGACUACAGGAUUCUCUGAGCUGCAAAAUGACCCACCAGGUUUCUUUAAGUUGCAAGCCCCUGCUGGUCUCUCUCCUUCAGGCUGAUUUAAACUAAGGCCGAACUCACGAUAUGAUGGCAGGUGCUGGAGCAGCUAUCUUGGACCGUGUGAUAAAAGUUACUGAUUGAGAAUGGCAGAGCAAUAAGACGGAUGGAAUCUGGGGCUUCAAAACCAUGAAACUGCCAUGUUAGCCCUGGACUGCUUAAGUUAUUAUUGUCACAUGGAGGAGAAAUAAACUUCCAGUGGGUUUAAGCCAUUGUUAUUUUGAUCUUUAGUUACAGCAACUGAACUGCUUCACUUUGCAUAGCUACUUCUAACCAUCCUUCAAAAGCUACCUGAGGGCCACUUCUCCCAGGAAGCAUCCCUUGAUUGUACCAACGAUAGCCUGCCUCACGUACCACAUUACCCAUCCCAGAGCAUGUUGCCUCAACCAAAUCUUGAUGCGCCGAAUUCUAUUUUAUUUAAUGUUAUCACUCCAAUAUAGGGCAUGGCACACAUCAGGAGGCAUGGAAAGACGGUGAUUGAGUUGGGUUGUGACUGUCCUUUGUUCAUGGUUGGUUUGAUGUCCCUUUCACAGCAUAGUACCUUCCAG
Long non-coding RNA from Equus caballus (horse), 1989 nucleotides. The record is from Ensembl. NCBI's taxonomy places the organism in Eukaryota, Metazoa, Chordata, Mammalia, Perissodactyla, Equidae.